GAGGCUCCGCCCCCAGCCCGAGACUUGGAGGCGUCCGACCCCCGAGCGAGCGCCCUUUUCCACCCCUCUCCAAGGAGGGCCCGAGGGGUUCUGCAGGGGCGAGUUUCGGUGUCUAAAGCCUUCCUUUUCCCAUGAUGUGCGCAUAGGAAGCCUUCUGUGUAACCUUACCUCUGAGACCUAGUUAUCAGUUGCCCAAACCCAGCCAUAAGGAUGUCAUUCCAUGGACCAUAUCUUAGAGGUUUUCACUUACAAAGCAUCCCUUGGAGUACCCUGCUCAGAGACUGGCACAAAGGGAGUGGGUAUCGUUGUUGAACAGGAAAAAAUAAGAUCCUGUUGGAGCUUUGGCCCUGAUGACUUAUGCAUCUGGAACGUUCCAUGGGAUGGAGCACGGCUGGGCAGGGUGGACCACUGAGGACAGAGAGCUGACCCAACAGACACCUGAUCUGACAGGAGCAAGUCCUGCAGAACCUGCGCUGGAGAGAUUUUGGCGAUCACCCAGCCGCAGUUCACCACCCUGGCUGCACCUAGACGCACCUGGGAGCUUAAAAAAAUAUUCGUUUCUGGAUUCCAUCCCUGGAGGUUUAAUUCAAGUGGUCUGGGGUAGAACUCCUUCUGAAGUUCUAUGAGAAAGAAGAGCUAAAUGUCACCCAUGACUGCAGACCUCCCUGGGGCCUUGAAGUCAGUGCAAGAGAUGAAACAGCACCUGCAGGCUGAACAGAUUCUCAGAGGCACCUGACCAUGAGCUUUAGCAGUCGAAUACCUAAGGAAGUCGUCCUGUCUUUUUACAGCCCAGCCCUCUCACAAGCCAAAAUCCAUCAUCCAUCCUGGAAGACCCUUUGGUUUAAUCUGAAGUCAGAGUCAUGCAAUAUUCUGAAACACUGAAGAUUUUGUCUUGGUCACAUUACCAGAUUCUUUAUCUCCUUAUCUCAGCAUGUUCUUUGGUGUAAGUGCUUGGCUCCUUUGGCAAUGUCAUUCGGUGGCUUCUCCCAUCGAAAAGUGGAGGCUCUUGUUCCAUCCCUGAGUCUGGGCUGGCCUGCUGAUUGGAUUUGAUCAAUAGAAUAAGGAGACACUGGAUUAGGAACGAGACACCUCAACCAGAGUCCUCCGGCUCUUUCCGAGUAUGGGCACAACCUCCUGACAAGCUGGCAACUUCAGAUGAAUGUCAAGUAUUAGAAAAGCGAAGUUGGUUGACUGCCACCUCCUCGCUGUUUUGUCACUUAAACCUUAAAAUUGAGAUGGCAAAUGCAAAACGUCAUCCAUAAGGUCUUCAGGAAAGGAACUCAUGGAUCUCCUUUUAAUUGUGAAGAGGUUCCCAGACAUUUCCUCAUGGCGCAUUUCCUCAUCCCACGUAGUCCAAGUCAUAGAUCAAGAAUCUAUAAGAUUUAAAUGGCAAAUAUCCACACAUUUAUAAACGGCUUUGGUAGAAUCAUGCUUUCAAACAUGUUUUUGCUCAUAAUUCUCUGGCAAGUGACAAAACCAUUACCUUCCUGUGAAUUAAUUCUUCCAGAACAUCUCAGUUUACCCAAGUAACAACCACGGAGGGCUCACGAAACAUCCUUGGCGAUUGACUUCUGAAGUACACGCAACAAACCAGGAACAGCAUCCGUGAUCCACGGAGCCCCGGUAACCAGGUGAAGCUGCAGAAGCUACUCAGCACUUGGGAGAAAUGUGGAGAACUCCACUGUUGGGAAAGACAGAAGAAUAAAACCCAGUUCCAGGACCCACUCGGUCAUCCCACGACACACCUAGGUUUCACUGACACAAAUGGGUCCUUCAACAUUCUAGUGAGACUUGGCUUGGUGUUACUCUUCGACACCCCCAAUCUGCUACUCAUUUGUGGCCACUCCACCCCUGAGAAUAGGGCAUCCCCCAAAGGCCAACCUUAAGCUCCAGGAGAGGUGUGUCCAGGUGCAAGCUUUGCAGCACUGCAGCAAAGGGUCCCAGGUCCCAGACCUGUCUCAUGAAGAAUGGGAAACAAUUUAGGUGAGCCCUACUAUUGUCCCAGCUUACUGCCUUGAGAGGGUUUCUGCUCUGUGGCAUAGGAAGGUGAGACCCGGGCAGAACCUGGUGGACUCUCCGUAGUAGGGAGAUGGGGAUGAGAGUCCAGGGAGCCCAAGGCAGCUCGAGUACCAAACAGAGUGCCAGAGAGGAAACAGCUGCACGGAGAGGGAACCCUGGAGAUGUGGAAGAUGUCCCCUGGAGUAUACAGCAGAGUUCUGACCACUACAUGCAUGUGAAGAUACUACCCCUUGCCAGAGGAAAAAGCAAACUGACGGGAUUAGAUAAAAAGCACCCAAUUCUCACAAAGGGCCAAGAAUGUAGCCUGUUCCCACUAGUCAGCCUAGAAAAAAAAUCAAACUUUUUGGGACACUGGGCAGAAUACUCAGGAAUGCUAUGCCUCAGUAGUGGGAAAAAUUUAGACACCUACCAAAUACUGUACCAGAUCCACUUCACAAAUUAGAACAUUGACCUGAAGAGUUCAAACGACUUUCAAGUAACUUAAUUGCAUCCCAGAGCAAAGCUCAAGAAUGACUAUAGGAAAAGAAAAUAUCCAGCAUUCAAAGAAAGUAAUAAUCACAACGGCUGGCAUCCAAUCAAGGAUUACCAGACAUUCAAAGUAUGAGGAACACAUAACCCAUAAUGAGGAAUCAAUCAAUCAGAACUGAAUUGGUAAACAAGAAUGUUAAAACAGUUAUUAUAACUAUAAUCCAGAUAUUCAAAAGGUUAAGUACGGAUGUAAAGCAAGUUUUUUUUAAAAAACCAAAAAUACCCAGAUUGAACUACAGAUGAAAACUGCAACAUCUGAAAUGAAAAAUAAACAGAUGGGAUUAAUAGUAGAUUAGACAGUCAUAAGAAUACAUUUGUAAACUUGAAAACAUGGCAAUAGAAACUACCCAAAAUAUAACACAAAGAGAAAAAAAAAAUUUUUUUAAUGAAGGGUAUCAAGUCAAGUGGCCUAAUACAUGUGUAAUUAGAAUCACCCAAGGAGAGGAGAGAGAGAGGUCAUGGAAAUAAUAUUUGAAGAAAUAAUGGCUGAAAAUAUUCCAAAUUUAAUUAAAACUGGAAACCCACAGAUCCAAGAAGCUCAACAAACCCCCAAGCAAAAUAAGCAUGAAGAGAAUUACAUCAAGGCCUAUCUUAAUCAAAUUGCUAAAGAAACCAGUGAUAAACAGAAAAUUUAUAGCAGCCAGAGAAAAAGAUGAGAUGUUACACAAAGAGACACAAAGCUAAAGAUGAGAGCAGAUUUUUCACUAGAAACAAUGUUAGCAAGACAAUCUCUUUAAAAUACUAAAAAACUGUCAAGCUAGAAUUUUACAACCAGCAAGGAUAUCUUUCAAAAACAAAGGUAAAAUAAAGAUGUUUUCAGACACACAAAAACUUGGAAGAAUUCACCAGCAAACCCACACGACAGGAAAUUUUAAAUAGUCUUUCAGGCAGAAGGAAAAUGAUACCAGAUGAAAAUAUGCAUCUAUACAAAAAGCACUGGAAAUGGUAAGUAUAUGUGAUUUUUAAAUUAAAUCUCUUUAUAAGAUAAUUGACUUUUUUUGGUUUUUUAAUUUAUUUAUUUUAUUUACUUUUGGCUGUGUUGGGUCUUUGUUGCUGCAUGCAGGCUUUCUCUAGUUGCGGCGAGUGGGGGCUACUCUUCGUUGUGGUGUGCAGUCUUUUCAUUGCGGUGGCUUCUCUUGUUGCGGAGCACAGGCUCUAGAGUGCAGGUGCAGUAGUUGUGGUGCAUGGGCUCAGUAGUUGUGACUCGUGGGCUCUAGAGCGCAGGCUCAGUUGUUGUGGCGCAUGGGCUUAGUUGCUCCGCGGCAUGUGGGAUCUUCUCAGACCAGGGAUCAAACCUGCAUCCUCUGCAUUGGCAGGCGGAUUCUUAACCACUGCACCACCAGGGAAGUCCCGAUAAUUGACUGUUUAAUCAUAAAUAAUAGCAUUGUAUUGUGGAGUUUAUAAUAUAUAUAUAUAAGCAAAACAUGACAACAAUAGCAUAACAACCAGGAAGGAGGAAAUUGAAAUAUUCUAUUUUAAGGUACUCAUACUAUACAUGAAGUCGUAAUUAUCACUUACAGGAAGACAGUGAUAAGUUAGAGUUAUAUACUAUACACUACACACUCUAUACACUACAUUUGAGCAACCUCUGUGUUUGUGGUAAUUUGUAACACUGAAAAAAAUCUAAUAUACUUAAUCCUACCUGAAACAGUGUUUAAAACAAAGUCUAUGUCUGAGCAAAUGUUAUCUUGAAAGUGUUGAUUUUUUUUCUCAACCUGUUUUCUAACAAAGCUCUUUGUUGGUUUUCCUUCUUCUGCAUCCCCAAUACAGUAUUAAAGAAAUAUCUCAAAGUUACCAAUCUGCUCAACGUCAACUCUCCAGCAGUGCUAAAUGUAGCUAUUCAUCUCUGUACAAUUAUAAGCUGCUUCAUUACUUUUGUUUCCCAUGUCCUCUUGGUCCAUCAAACUUACUGAGUUAUAGGGAAGGAAAGUUAAUCCUAUUAUGUAAUUACAUUAAUUAUUGCUACAUGAAUCACUCAGUAGGGAAAAAUAGCAAGCCUGGUAUAAUGAGAAACUAAAAGAAGUGACCAUUUGUAACCCCGCAUCCGAUAGGCCAAGUUAAAGUCAUGAAUUGACAGGUUGUUUUCCCUGAAAUAUGACAGUUGUCAAAAAAAGUGUGAUUUCCAGGUGAGCUGUGUGUGGUGUCAUAUCCACCUAAUGCACGUGAGGGACCAUAGGACCCAUGGAAACAGGCAGCAUAUCUCUUGGGAUAUUCUUUGAGAAAAAAAAUCAUAAUCAAAUUGCUUGCAAAACACUAAAAUACAAAUCGACCCCUUUUAGAGUUUCACAACCUUUAAUAAAGAUGACCCAGGUUUCAAGAUGUAUAGAAAACAUGACUGUUAUACUGACCUGGUGGAUCAUUUAUCAGUAUGAAGUAUUCCUCUUCCCCCCUCAAAUACCUAUUAGAUUCUAGUUUUCCUAAUAUUAAAAAAAAAAAAAAAAAGGCGAUCCAGGUUUGUGCAGAAAAGAAACCUAUUUAACUUGGUUUAUCCCAGAAAUUCCCAAACCUAUUUGAUAUGUAUUCUGUCCAAGUUUUAUAGUUGAGUUCAGUGGGAGGUAAGUGGAGGUGUGUGUUUACUUCACAUAGUCGGCGGAGUCAUUUCUUUGGCACACCUAUUAAUCCCUGGAAACGCAAAUGUUUUUGCAUGGAAAAUAUUUGAGGGAAAUGUGGGUCUAGAGAUUAAAUUCAUCGUGUGUUUAUUUAUCCUAUCCCUUCUUUAUGAUGAUAUUUCACUCCAGGUCCGGGGUUGAUAACAUGUGAAUUUGUGAGAAGAAUUCCUAGCGUAACUGCUCACCUCGACCCCACCUCGAGAUGACAGGAAGCACUGCUGCAGUCCACAGUCCCCCGAGAUAAAAUGCAUCCACCAUAACUUAAGAAGUUCAGGCAUCGCGGAUCAGCUCGGCUUAUCGCCCUAAGGCAUUCAGCAGACAUCUUCUAAGCACCUACCUUGUGUUAAGCUCAGUGCAUUACUAGCCUGCCAGCAGCACACUGGUCUUUCAAGCUCACAGAAGGUGUGACCAUGCCAAAGAAGGUAUCCAGGAGGGAUGAUGACUCACGGACCCCCAGAGGCUUCUGAGGAAGGGGAUGGGUAGCCGGGCUGGCUGGGAGGUGACUGUCGUCUCCAGUACAGAGACCCUCAAACAAGGUCAUGGGGUGGCACUGCCCUGACCACUUGUGCAGAACCUUGGAUGGGUCUUGAUGGGGUAGAGAACUCACUCAAAAGCAAAGCCAGUUGACAGCAGACAUUAAGUUAAAUCAAUCGGUGAUGCAAAUUUCAAGAGCAAAGAAGUAGGAAAGAGGGAAAUGUAAGAAACAAAAAGAAUAAAUUACUUUCCAUUUUGCAUUGAUUCUAAGAUGCACAUUUUUUUCACAUUUUGACAUGUCUGAAUUCUCUGAAAUUGAAACAUAUCUUAUAAUCCCAAGCAUCCUACAAUCGCUGGCCUCCAGGCAUCAACGUGACCUAGUUGUCAUUGCCAGCAUGUGCAAACUUGUUCACAGCUGUUGCUGUUGUCAUCACUUCAGCGGGAUUAUGUGCAUUGUUGGUACUACAUGUGCUAGGUUUAAUUGCCGUGUAAGAUGUCUUCAGAAAGAUUAUACCAUGAUUCGGUAUUGAAAAGAAAACUUACAAUGUAUUCAGAAAGGCAGGGAGACAGAGAAGCGGGGCAUAAAUUUGUUAUUUGUGAACUGAAUAUUCAUUAGAAGAGAAAUGAUUGUAAUUCCAUUAUCUCUUGCAAAAAAACCAAAAUCAAAACCCAAGUGCUUUACUCCUGCUACUCAAAAUGUGGUCCAUGGACCAACAGCAUCACCUGGGAGUUUGUUAGAAAUGCAGAAUCCCAGGUUCUACCAUAAACCCCCCAAAUCAGGAACAAGCAAGGAAUUAAUUCUCCCUGAGUUUCCAGAUGGAAAAUAUUUCAGACUUCCAGUUUCCAGACUGUGAGAGAAUAAAUUUCCAUGGUCAGUUGUUACAGCAGCUACAAGAAACUAAUAAACCCUCCUUUCACUCAGAGUCCAGUAGAGCCAGACACCUUCACAAGAACUCCCCAGCCCCAGGCAAGUUGCAGAUUGGAAGGAACAGAUCUCUACUUGGUUCUCCUGCUUCCUCUACCUGGGAAAACAGAAUGUCAAAGGGAAGAGCUGCAUUUCAUGCAGUUGCAACAAAGUGUAUGUCCCAGGAUGCUCCAGAAGACCCAGUGCUCAGAUGUAACAGGAACCUUCCUGCAAAUGAAGAAGUGUUCCAUCUCCUACCCUCAGAUCACCAAUUCUAUCUGUGCAGAGGCUGUCAAUCAAGUUUUUAGUAUAAAUUGAGUUAGUGCCAGCAGAAGAAGCAAUGAGGGAAGGCAGUCGUGUUUCUCACCAAAAAUAUUUUACUAAUACUCUACUUCCAGAGGGUGCUAUAGUUUAUUUAUCUAUUUAUUUGUUUGGCUGCUCCUUGCGGCUUGUGGUAUCUUAGUUCCCCAGCCCAGGAUCGAACCCAGGCCCUUGCAGUGGAAGUGCAGAGUCCUAACCACUGGACCGCCAGGGAAUUCCCUAUAGUUAACUUUAAAAAGGAGCCUCACACAUUCUGUGGCACUUCAUCCUGAAAGGCAGGUAGGGCUUUGCUCUCAUUUUCACAGCUGAGUAAGCGGUGGCCCAGAGAGUUUAAGCCACUUAAGAACCAAAAGUGACAGAGCCCUCGAAGGACUCUCCUGGUAUUUAGACCCCAAGGUCAAGGCACUUUUGAAGAACGACACUCUACGUCUUUCACGGAAACCUUAGCAAACUCUGAAAUAGACACUGUUUGUAAAUCACUAUCCUUUUUCUUCAUCCCUCUCCCCCACCCCCACUUUAGUGACAAAAGACCUCAUCUAGGGACAGUGUAUUUUACUCCCUGAGAUUUGCUGACACCUGCUGACAAGUGGAAGGAUAACAGUGGGUAAAGAAGUUUUGUAAAACAGGCUGUCGUACUGCCCUUGCCAAGCGAGGAGGCCAAGGUAACCGUCGCCCAGGAGAAGACGACGAAGUUCUCUAUUCUGCUCCAGAGUGAUGGCUCAAAAACAAAUCUCACCACUAUUAUUCAACAUAGUUUUGGAAGUCCUAGCCAUGGCAAUCAGAGAAGAAAAAGAAAUAAAAGGAAUACAAAUUGGAAAAGAAGUAAAACUGUCACUGUUUGCAGAUGACAUGAUACUAUACAUAGAGAAUCCUAAAGGUGCCACCAGAAAACUACUAAAGCUAAUCAAUGAAUUUGGUAAAGUUGCAGGAUACAAAAAUAAUGCACAGAAAUCUCUUGCAUUCCUAUACACUAAUGAUGAAAAAUCUGAAAGAGAAAUUAAGGAAACACUCCCAUUUACCAUUGCAACAAAAAGAAUAAAAUGCCUAGGAAUAAACCUACCUAGGGAGACAAAAGACCUGUAUGCAGAAAACUAUAAGACACUGAUGAAAGAAAUUAAAGAUGAUACCAACAGAUGGAGAGAUAUACCAUGUUCUUGGAUUGGAAGAAUCAAUACUGUGAAAAUGACUAUACUAGCCAAAGCAAUCUACAGAUUCAGUGCAAUCCCUAUCAAAUUUCCAAUGGCAUUUUUCUACAGAACUAGAACAAAAAAUCUUAAAAUUUGUAUGGAGACACAAAAGACCCCAAAUAGCCAAAGCAGUCUUGGGGGAAAAAAGUGGAGCUGGAGGAAUAAGACUCCCUGACUUCACACUAUACUACAAAGCUACAGUAAUCAAGACAAUAUGGUACUGGCACAAAAACAGAAAUAUAGAUCAAUGGAACAAGAUAAAAAGCCCAGAGAUAAACCCACGCACCUAUGGUCAACUAAUCUAUGACAAAGGAGGCAAGGAUAUACAAUGGAGAAAAGACAGUCUCUUCAAUAAGUGGUGCUGGGAAAACUGGACAGCUACAUGUAAAAGAAAGAAAUUAGACCACUCCCUAACACCAUACACAAAAAUAAACUCAAAAUGGAUUAGAGACCUAAACGUGAGAUCGGACACUAUAAAACUCUUAGAGGAAAACAUAGGAAGAACAUCUUUGACAUAAAUCACAGCAAGGUCUUUUUU
This is a long non-coding RNA of Orcinus orca (killer whale), 8580 nucleotides long. RefSeq lists it as uncharacterized. The record is from RefSeq and is a predicted model, not a curated record. The transcript is spliced from 14 exons. NCBI's taxonomy places the organism in Eukaryota, Metazoa, Chordata, Mammalia, Artiodactyla, Delphinidae.